AUCAAGUCAUGGUAAGUGACCAUCAUGAAAGAUAAAGAUGGUACAUUUCAACAUGAUAAGAUCUGCUGCUAUGAAUAUUACUGAGUUACCUGUUACAUCUCAGGACAACAGGUGUGUACUUGUGGUUUAAAGACUACUUUACACGCUAUGUCAACCUUUUCCAGCGUGUCUUUACAGUAGCAAAAUGUAUGUUUGAGGACUAUAUCAGACAACAUGGGUUGCCAGAGUGUAGUCACACAGACCAGGUAGGCAAUUGGAGUCAGACCUUGUAAAACACUUUGGAAAACCUUGCUGGAAUAGUUACCUCUACUGCCCCCCAGUGGCCGUUAGAAAGGAUGCACACAUUUUGUGUUGAAGUCCUUAAAGCUGUCUUUCACUUUUUGUCUUGUCCUUUGUGUCCCAGAUGAAGUCGUGAGUGGCUCGGGGGAGGAUAGGCGGGACAUUAGCUUUUCUUUUUUACAAGAACUUUGCUGACAAAGUGCAAGUGUUUGUGGGCGUUACUGUACAUGUUGGUAUUGAUCACACCACCCAGUAAAUACAGGGAACGUUUUCAAAAUCAUUAAAUGAUUUUAGACUUUCAUUUUGUGAACAAUAUAAACAUAUAUUAAUAUAAACAUAUGGAGGAGUCAGAUGGGGUGGUUAGGGCAUCUGGUCAGGAUGCCACCUGAACGCAUAGGGAGGUGUUUAGGACACGUCUGACCGGUAGGAGGCCACCAGGAAGACCCAAGACACCUUGGGAACGCCUCGGGAUCCAGGAGCUGGACGAAGUGGCUGGGGAGAGCGAAGUGUGGGUUUCCCUGCUUAGGCUGCUGCCCCCGCGACCCGACCUCAGAUAAGCGGAAGAAGACGGAUGGAUGGAUGAAUAAACAUAUAUGAAUACAACAAUAGUCGUGUGGAGAGAGAGUUUGGCCAACCCGGGUUUGGAGUCAGUGUCUAACAAGGCGCCCUCUAGUCACCUGAGGGGAUUUGACCAACUAUUACAUCUUAUGCUGUUGCUAUGUACCUAUCUUUAAUGUUUAUAGUACACAAUGAAUCAUAUUUAGCUGUGAAAUGUGUGUUUUUUAUGAUGUUAGACGAUCUCUGAUUACAUCACUUGUCCAUGCCAGCUAACUUU
Long non-coding RNA from Nerophis ophidion (straightnose pipefish), 1114 nucleotides. RefSeq lists it as uncharacterized. The record is from RefSeq and is a predicted model, not a curated record. Lineage: Eukaryota; Metazoa; Chordata; Actinopteri; Syngnathiformes; Syngnathidae. The transcript is spliced from 2 exons.